Molecule: ribosomal RNA, 1506 nt
Filed under: uncultured bacterium
Lineage: Bacteria
Description: bacterial SSU rRNA
Rfam family: Bacterial small subunit ribosomal RNA
Source: RNAcentral
AGAGUUUGAUCAUGGCUCAGGACGAACGCUGGCGGCGUGCCUAAUACAUGCAAGUUGAGCGCUGAAGGUUGGUACUUGUACCGACUGGAUGAGCAGCGAACGGGUGAGUAACGCGUGGGGAAUCUGCCUUUGAGCGGGGGACAACAUUUGGAAACGAAUGCUAAUACCGCAUAAAAACUUUAAACACAAGUUUUAAGUUUGAAAGAUGCAAUUGCAUCACUCAAAGAUGAUCCCGCGUUGUAUUAGCUAGUUGGUGAGGUAAAGGCUCACCAAGGCGAUGAUACAUAGCCGACCUGGAGGGUAUCGGCCACAUUGGGACUGAGACACGGCCCAAACUCCUACGGGAGGCAGCAGUAGGGAAUCUUCGGCAAUGGACGAAAGUCUGACCGAGCAACGCCGCGUGAGUGAAGAAGGUUUUCGGAUCGUAAAACUCUGUUGGUAGAGAAGAACGUUGGUGAGAGUGGAAAGCUCAUCAAGUGACGGUAACUACCCAGAAAGGGACGGCUAACUACGUGCCAGCAGCCGCGGUAAUACGUAGGUCCCGAGCGUUGUCCGGAUUUAUUGGGCGUAAAGCGAGCGCAGGUGGUUUAUUAAGUCUGGUGUAAAAGGCAGUGGCUCAACCAUUGUAUGCAUUGGAAACUGGUAGACUUGAGUGCAGGAGAGGAGAGUGGAAUUCCAUGUGUAGCGGUGAAAUGCGUAGAUAUAUGGAGGAACACCGGUGGCGAAAGCGGCUCUCUGGCCUGUAACUGACACUGAGGCUCGAAAGCGUGGGGAGCAAACAGGAUUAGAUACCCCGGUAGUCCACGCCGUAAACGAUGAGUGCUAGAUGUAGGGAGCUAUAAGUUCUCUGUAUCGCAGCUAACGCAAUAAGCACUCCGCCUGGGGAGUACGACCGCAAGGUUGAAACUCAAAGGAAUUGACGGGGGCCCGCACAAGCGGUGGAGCAUGUGGUUUAAUUCGAAGCAACGCGAAGAACCUUACCAGGUCUUGACAUACUCGUGCUAUUCCUAGAGAUAGGAAGUUCCUUUGGGACACGGGAUACAGGUGGUGCAUGGUUGUCGUCAGCUCGUGUCGUGAGAUGUUGGGUUAAGUCCCGCAACGAGCGCAACCCCUAUUGUUAGUUGCCAUCAUUAAGUUGGGCACUCUAACGAGACUGCCGGUGAUAAACCGGAGGAAGGUGGGGAUGACGUCAAAUCAUCAUGCCCCUUAUGACCUGGGCUACACACGUGCUACAAUGGAUGGUACAACGAGUCGCGAGACAGUGAUGUUUAGCUAAUCUCUUAAAACCAUUCUCAGUUCGGAUUGUAGGCUGCAACUCGCCUACAUGAAGUCGGAAUCGCUAGUAAUCGCGGAUCAGCACGCCGCGGUGAAUACGUUCCCGGGCCUUGUACACACCGCCCGUCACACCACGGGAGUUGGGAGUACCCGAAGUAGGUUGCCUAACCGCAAGGAGGGCGCUUCCUAAGGUAAGACCGAUGACUGGGGUGAAGUCGUAACAAGGUAACC